UUUAUCGGAGAGUUUGAUCCUGGCUCAGGACGAACGCUGGCGGCGUGCCUAAUACAUGCAAGUCGAGCGGACAGAUGGGAGCUUGCUCCCUGAUGUUAGCGGCGGACGGGUGAGUAACACGUGGGUAACCUGCCUGUAAGACUGGGAUAACUCCGGGAAACCGGGGCUAAUACCGGAUGGUUGUUUGAACCGCAUGGUUCAGACAUAAAAGGUGGCUUCGGCUACCACUUACAGAUGGACCCGCG
RNAcentral lists this ribosomal RNA (245 nucleotides) under Bacillus velezensis. RNAcentral's name for it is "partial 16S ribosomal RNA". It matches the Rfam family "Bacterial small subunit ribosomal RNA", at positions 1 to 235 of the family's 1533-position model. Lineage: Bacteria; Bacillati; Bacillota; Bacilli; Caryophanales; Bacillaceae. The record is from RNAcentral.